This 24-nucleotide non-coding RNA is filed under the name Arabidopsis thaliana (thale cress). The record is from RNAcentral. Lineage: Eukaryota; Viridiplantae; Streptophyta; Magnoliopsida; Brassicales; Brassicaceae.
CACAUUAAGUACGUUUUGUUUCGU